Molecule: long non-coding RNA, 264 nt
Organism: Psammomys obesus (fat sand rat)
Lineage: Eukaryota; Metazoa; Chordata; Mammalia; Rodentia; Muridae
Exons: 3
Source: RefSeq, a predicted model, not a curated record
UCUCUGACCCACCUUGCCCUGCAGAACUCACUGCUUCACCCAAUGCUGGCAUCACACUAGCCAGUCCUCACAGUUGGGAGGAUCCGAAGCCCAUGGCUACUGCUGUACCUCUACAGAUGGGAAACUGAGACUGGGAUCUGGGCAUGUGCGGAUGACUUGCCCAAUGUAGCAGGGAGGGGCCCCAGGGAUCAAACUCAGGUUAUCAGGCUUGUGCAGCAAUCACCUCUACCCAAGGCUUGGGAUUUGAACCCACGCUUGGUUGGC